This 26-nucleotide non-coding RNA is filed under the name Cricetulus griseus (Chinese hamster). Lineage: Eukaryota; Metazoa; Chordata; Mammalia; Rodentia; Cricetidae. The record is from RNAcentral.
AUGUAGAGAAGAGUUGAGACUGGAGA